GUAACGGCGAGUGAAGCGGCAAAAGCUCAAAUUUGAAAUCUGGUACCUUCGGUGCCCGAGUUGUAAUUUGGAGAGGGCAACUUUGGGGCCGUUCCUUGUCUAUGUUCCUUGGAACAGGACGUCAUAGAGGGUGAGAAUCCCGUGUGGCGAGGAGUGCGGUUCUUUGUAAAGUGCCUUCGAAGAGUCGAGUUGUUUGGGAAUGCAGCUCUAAGUGGGUGGUAAAUUCCAUCUAAAGCUAAAUAUUGGCGAGAGACCGAUAGCGAACAAGUACAGUGAUGGAAAGAUGAAAAGAACUUUGAAAAGAGAGUGAAAAAGUACGUGAAAUUGUUGAAAGGGAAGGGCAUUUGAUCAGACAUGGUGUUUUGUGCCCUCUGCUCCUUGUGGGUAGGGGAAUCUCGCAUUUCACUGGGCCAGCAUCAGUUUUGGUGGCAGGAUAAAUCCAUAGGAAUGUAGCUUGCCUCGGUAAGUAUUAUAGCCUGUGGGAAUACUGCCAGCUGGGACUGAGGACUGCGACGUAAGUCAAGGAUGCUGGCAUAAUGGUUAUAUGCCGCCCGUCUUGAA
This 561-nucleotide ribosomal RNA is filed under the name Saccharomyces cerevisiae (brewer's yeast). RNAcentral describes it as "partial large subunit ribosomal RNA". It matches the Rfam family "Eukaryotic large subunit ribosomal RNA", at positions 83 to 658 of the family's 3401-position model. Lineage: Eukaryota; Fungi; Ascomycota; Saccharomycetes; Saccharomycetales; Saccharomycetaceae. The record is from RNAcentral.